This 510-nucleotide ribosomal RNA is filed under the name uncultured bacterium. RNAcentral's name for it is "partial 16S ribosomal RNA". The record is from RNAcentral.
GGAGUUAGCCGGUGCUUCUUCUGUGAGUGAUGUCCUUCCUGCCGGUUAUUGACCCGCAGGCCUUCUUCCUCACUGAAAGUGCUUUACAACCCGAAGGCCUUCUUCACACACGCGGCAUGGCUGGAUCAGGGUUGCCCCCAUUGUCCAAUAUUCCCCACUGCUGCCUCCCGUAGGAGUCUGGGCCGUGUCUCAGUCCCAGUGUGGCUGAUCAUCCUCUCAGACCAGCUACGGAUCGUCGCCUUGGUGAGCCGUUACCUCACCAACCAGCUAAUCCGACAUAGGCUCAUCCGAUAGCGCGAGGCCCGAAGGUCCCCCGGCUUUCCCCCGUAGGGCGUAUGCGGUAUUAGCCCUGGGUUUCCCCCAGGGUUAUCCCCCACUACCGGGCAGAUUCCUAUGCAUUACUCACCCGUCCGCCGCUCGCCACCAGGGAGCAAGCUCCCCGUGCUGCCGCUCGACUUGCAUGUGUUAGGCCUGCCGCCAGCGUUCAAUCUGAGCAUGAUCAAACUCUGA